Molecule: small RNA, 814 nt
Filed under: Pongo abelii (Sumatran orangutan)
Lineage: Eukaryota; Metazoa; Chordata; Mammalia; Primates; Hominidae
Description: retained intron
Source: RNAcentral
UGUGACCCAGGGUAGCCACUGGGAUUUAUGGAAGAGGCAAAAGUGGGGAGAUUUGAGAAUUUAGGAAUGUCAGGAGUGGGCAUACACAGAGCUAUCUCUGGGCACCCUCACCCACUUUGCACAGCCUUUUGCACAGUGGGUGAGGGUGCUCCUGGAGGAGAUCCAGGGAGUACAAAGGCUGUGCAUAGUGGCCUUGGGUCCAGGAGGUAAUAUGGCUUCAGAUAAUAUAGUACGAGACCUGCUUCUGCCCAAGAGGAUCAGAAACUGAGACCUAUGUGGGACCAAGAGGAUGGUACUAAACCACUCAUGAGAAAUUCACCACCAUAAUCUCAUCACCUCCCACCAGGCCCCACCUCCAAGACUGGGGAUUAUAUUUCAACAUGAGAUGUGUGAACACAGAUUCAAACUAUAUCAUUCUUCCCGUGGACCCUCCCAAAUCUCAUGUCUGUCUUACAUUUCAGAAUACAAACAUGCCUUCCCAAUCAUCUCCCAAAGUCUCAACUCAGUCCAGCAUUAACUCAAAAGACCAAAGUUCUAAGUCUCAUCUGAAACAAGGUGUUGACAAAGGAGAUUAUUAUUUGAGUCAGUGGACUGUGAGAAGCAGACCUACCCUCAAUCUGGGUGGGUGCCAUCUAGUCAGCUGCCAGUGUGGCUAGAAUGAAGCAGGCAGAAGUUGGAAAGAGCAGACCUGCUGAGUCUUCCGGCCCUCAUCUUUCUCCCAUGCUGGAUUCUUCCUGCCCUCAAACAUCAGACUCCAUGCUCUCCAGCUUUUGGACUCAUGGACUUACACCAGUGGUGUGCCAGGGCCUCUUGA